This 2520-nucleotide long non-coding RNA is filed under the name Triticum aestivum (bread wheat). RNAcentral describes it as "long non-coding RNA (TAES_LNC009839)". Lineage: Eukaryota; Viridiplantae; Streptophyta; Magnoliopsida; Poales; Poaceae. The record is from RNAcentral.
GGCUUUAAGUUGUACUAUUGAGACCAUACCACCAUAUCUUCAUUUAGUUUCUUUGGAAAUCUGAAGGUCUAAGAGGACGGUACAUGUGAGAAGCUGUGAAUCUACAACAAAAAACUAAACUAACUUCCAAACAAACAUUUCAAGUUUGGAAGCCACAAAGAAGCAGCCAAGAUCUCUCGUUGUAGUGCAGAUUCAAGAAAAUGGGCCGAAUGACCAUCACAACGACAUGUAGAAGCAGCAAAAAUAUAGGCUUGGUGUGUAACUGAUCAUGAAAGAUAGCCUGGUCAGUUUCUCCAUUGUUGGCUUAUACUGAGCAAGAAGAUCAGCCUGCAGAGAAGAAAAAUGAAGGACUGCUUUAUUCUGCGGUACAUCCACAAUAGUACAGACAAUAAAGUAGUUAAAUGUGUGCUAAGAUGUAAGACCUUUUAGAUCACUAUUUUAGUGAUCUAAAAGGUAAGCAGUGAUCUAAAAGAUCUUGUAUUAGUUUGAAAAGGGAGUACUUAAUAAGACUGUAAGUCAGUACAUCAAAGUAAUGCCGGCUUCCCAUUGAUUUGAUCAAACCAAUAUGACAAAGGGAAGGUGAAACUUCAGAAGACCAUAUAAAUUGACUGCGAUGUCUUAAUUAAAACUCUGAAAUGAAGUAAUAAACAUUAAGUCUGAAUGUUGUCACUAAAAAAGCAUAAAAAAGGCAGACCAGCCAGCGGUGCAUCAUAAUUAGUGGUUCAUCAUGGGCAAACCAGGCAGCAGUAGCCUAAUAACUUAGACGGAAAAAAUGCAAGAAGUCAAAGCACAAGGUGGGAAAUAGGACCGAGCAUUGACAGGUAACCAAAUAAUGAAGGAAUAUCCCCAGAGGAUGCAAGAGGUGAGAGAGGAGCACCUAGCAGAGGUUUGUGGACUACCUCUUUAUGCCACACCAUAUCCACAUCCCUAGCACUUGACGUACUUGCUGCUAUUGUCGUCUCUACCUUAUUUCCUCCAUUGCCGGUUCGUGGACUACCUCUUCAGGACACGCCGAAUACAUAUCCUCUCCUUCACCAGCUGGUAGUCUCGCCCUUGUAUAUGGUGUUAAAUUGCCAUUGUAAUAAAGCCCAUUAUAUGGUGUAUCAGUUGCAUGGAUGCACAAGGAAAGAUAAACCAGUGAAGGAAUUUAAAAGGAUCUAACAGCAUUUAUGGGUUUUUAUCAUUUUAAAGACAACAGGCUGUAAAGCAUGGCAAUGUUAAAAUAACCAAAAGCAAGGCAUGAACAAAUCAGUGAAGGGACUAUAAGCUGCAGGAAUAGACGUACCAUUGGAAAAUAACACAAAUCAUGCAAGUAUCCACUAUUUCAAAAUAGCUUCAAUAUCACUGGAAAAUACCUGUGGUCGCUUGAAUUGCCCAAAGGUGAAUGCCACUCAAGAUACAAGAGCUCUGAAUCAACUGAUCAUUGCAUAAUCCAGUUCACUGUACACAAUCCAUUGACAAAAAGAGUCACUACUUUCCUACCGAGAUUUCUCACGAAGUAAUGUAUCUGUCAUUUUUAGAUGGUACUUUUACAUGUAGUAUCUUACUCUAAUACUGCAUGGUUGACCUGCUUCCUUUCUGUAAAUACACAAUUGCACUAUUAGUGGUUGCACUGGCUGAUAUAUGUCAUUUUCCUGUAACCCCUAAAGAUAGAAUCGGUGAUCGGUGCAUACAAAUCUUGGUCCAAGCAAUGCAAAAUCAUGAUUAUGGUCUGUUCUGCAUACAUAUAUAGUGCAUGCUACUGAUAUUUAUCACAGUGUCUGCACCUAUUUCUUUCAAGUAUUUUUCUUGUCUUACUAUACUACUGCAUACAUAUACAAUGCUUACUACUGAUAUUUAUCACAGUGGCUGUACCUAUUUCUUUCAAGUAAUUUUCUUGUCAUACAAAAUCUACAGGUCUGAGUAACCUCCUCGACAGCUUGAGUGUACUGAACCUGAAUAUAUACUUGUGAUUUAGCGCUGACUUUACUACGUAUUUGAUUCGGUUCAUCAUCAAGAAUUCGGUUGCCACCAUACGCAGCAGUCGGACGAUCACCACAUAUGACUAUGAUUAGCUUUAACAAUGGGACAAAUAGUUUAAUUAGUUGUCAGCUUAGCAAGAAUCUUGCCAAUCCAUGGCAUUCAUCUCCUAAGACACAUCAAACAGUUGUGAAGAAGCAGUUACAUCAGGGUGGGGAUUGGAACAAGAGCUGAGAGAGAUGAGGAACAUACCUAGCAGAAAUCCAAUCUCGGUCCCUUUUUUUCUCAUCGUUGAUUACCACCUUUGCCAUUAGGAACACCUACAAAAUAUGUGUUUUCAACUCCUUAAUAUCUCACGAGAAAAUAGCAGAAAUCAAAAGGCAAUGAAACUGGACCUAAAUAGAUUGUUCAGAGAGAGAUCACCUUGUUCUUCACCAAGCUCUUCCUCAAGAUUCACCCACUUCUCUUUUUUUUCUCAGAUCUGCACACAUAUGUUUAGAAAAACCAUGAAUCAAGGAGUAAAAAUUGGGGAGGAAGAUGAAUUGGCCGAAGAUGGGCAAC